Long non-coding RNA from Leopardus geoffroyi (Geoffroy's cat), 1212 nucleotides. RefSeq lists it as uncharacterized. The transcript has 4 exons. The record is from RefSeq and is a predicted model, not a curated record. NCBI's taxonomy places the organism in Eukaryota, Metazoa, Chordata, Mammalia, Carnivora, Felidae.
AUCUGGGGCAGCGAGCUGUGCGUCUGGCAGCGCAGGUCCAGCAGCGUGGGCCCCAGGAAGGCGAUGCACAGGCCGAAGCUGAAGAAGACGCUCCAGUAGAGUGUUCAUGGCUUUCAUUGGACCCUCGAGAGGAUAAGCAUUUUAGACAGAAAACCUUGGAACUAUCCGAUCUGCACCCGAAGCUCCGCCUGAGAGCUGGUCUUCCCCGGCCGCAUCCCUGCGCGCUGGACAGGUGCAGGAAGGAGGAAGAUGAAGGUGGCUAUAGAACUGGCGAGUCCUGUGUGGUCCUGCUUCUGAGGGAGCCAGGGUUCCUGCAUUGGCCCCCGGAGGCGGAGCAGUAAGGUCCAGAGUGUCACUUCUGCUGGUGGUGGCAGGAACCACGACAUCAUGCCCACUUGGCCCUCCAGGGGGACCAGAGCUGAAAGGGCUGAGGAGGUUGGGGGGCAGGGAGGGAGUGCUCUCCUGACAACCUGGCACGAGGAGGGGGCAAUCCACUUUUCUUGCAGGGCUGGUUUCAUCUCACAGAGGCACCAUCCCUCCUCUCCUCUGAGCACAUGGGAGCAGAGCCCCAGGGCCUCUCUGGCUCAGUGGGUUGAAUUCCAGAACCACAGAAGCUCCGAGUUGGAAAGAACAAUCUCCAAAUUGAGUCCCCUAUCCUCUCCCCAUAGUUGCUGAUAAAUGCUCGUCAGUCCUGUUCUUGGCUGAUACCUCUUACUGUUGAGGACCUUACCUAUCAUCUCCUGUGGGUCUGCUUCCAACGUGGGUCAGCUCCAGUUAGGAAGGGUUUCAUGCCCAACUGGAAUGCCCCUCCCGGUGACUCCCCACCGCCACCCACAGGACAAGUCUAAUUGCUCCGCGCAUGUUAGCCCUUCACACACACUACCUGGCCCCAGCACUUGGCUUCUCCAGCCCAAACACCUAAAAUUCUUUCAUAAUUUCUAUAGAUGGUACUCCCCAGAUCUAUCACCCUACUGGGGCAGCUCCUCCAGCCACAGUAGCCGUGACCCUGGUACGGUGCACCGUGAGGCAGCCCAUAGUGUCUGGGGUGCUAGAGGCAUUCUAUAGCUUGAUCCGGGUGGUAGUUACACAGCUAUAAACAUAUGUAAAUAUUCAUUCUUGUACAAACAUACGCAUGCUUAUGAUUUGUGUCUUUUACUGUAAGUUACAGUUGGACAAAAUAGUGGAAAGUAAAAAUAAGUAAACAAAAGCAAA